GAUGAACGCUGGCGGCGUGCCUAAUACAUGCAAGUCGAGCGAACGGACGAGAAGCUGGCUUCUCUGAUGUUAGCGGCGGACGGGUGAGUCACACAUGGAUAACCUCUCUAUGAGACUGGGAUAACUUCGGGAAACCGGAGCUAAUACCGGAUUAUAUUUUGAACCACAUGGUUCAAAAAUGAAAGACAGUCUUGCUGUCACUUAUAGAUCGAUCCGCGGUGCAUUAGCUAGGUGGUGAGGUAACGGCUUACCAAGGCAACGAUGCAUAGCCGACCUGAGAGGGUGAUCGGCCACACGGGAAGAGACACACGGCACACACCCCUACGGGAGGCAGCAGGAGGAAAUUUUGCGCAAGGCGCGAAACCCUGCGGGAGCAACGGCGCGUGAGUAAUGAAUGUUUUCGGCGCGUAAAUCUGUGGUAAGAGGAAAGAACAUAUGUGUAAGUAACGGUCCAAAUCUGGACGGAACCUAAUCAAAAAGCACGGCUAACUACGUG
RNAcentral lists this ribosomal RNA (496 nucleotides) under uncultured bacterium. RNAcentral describes it as "partial 16S ribosomal RNA". It matches the Rfam family "Bacterial small subunit ribosomal RNA", at positions 28 to 507 of the family's 1533-position model. The record is from RNAcentral.